UGACCGGAUGCCGAUCUCGAAAACCUGUCCCAGUUCGGACUGGAGUCUGCAACCCGACUCCACGAAGUUGGAUUCGCUAGUAAUCGCGCAUCAGCCAUGGCGCGGUGAAUACGUUCCCGGGCCUUGUACACACCGCCCGUCAAGCCAUGGGAGCCGGGGGCGCCUGAAGUCCGGGACCGCGAGGACCGGCCUAGGGCGAAACUGGUGACUGGGGCUAAGUCGUAACAAGGUAGC
RNAcentral lists this ribosomal RNA (234 nucleotides) under uncultured bacterium. Its description in RNAcentral is "partial 16S ribosomal RNA". It matches the Rfam family "Bacterial small subunit ribosomal RNA", at positions 1258 to 1500 of the family's 1533-position model. The record is from RNAcentral.